UGGGGAAUAUUGCACAAUGGGGGAAACCCUGAUGCAGCGACGCCGCGUGAACGAAGAAGUAUUUCGGUAUGUAAAGUUCUAUCAGCAGGGAAGAUAAUGACGGUACCUGACUAAGAAGCACCGGCUAACUCCGUGCCAGCAGCCGCGGUAAUACGGAGGGUGCAAGCGUUAAUCGGAAUAACUGGGCGUAAAGGGCAUGCAGGCGGUUAUGCAAGCAGGGAUGUGAAACCCCCGGGCUUAACUUGGGAACUGCAUUCUGAACUACAUGACUAGAGUAUUGCAGGGGGAGACGGAAUUCCAGGUGUAGCGGUGGAAUGCGUA
RNAcentral lists this ribosomal RNA (321 nucleotides) under uncultured Succinivibrio sp. Its description in RNAcentral is "bacterial SSU rRNA". It matches the Rfam family "Bacterial small subunit ribosomal RNA", at positions 355 to 692 of the family's 1533-position model. Lineage: Bacteria; Pseudomonadati; Pseudomonadota; Gammaproteobacteria; Aeromonadales; Succinivibrionaceae. The record is from RNAcentral.